Molecule: unclassified non-coding RNA, 279 nt
Filed under: plant metagenome
Description: partial contains small subunit ribosomal RNA, internal transcribed spacer 1, and 5.8S ribosomal RNA
Source: RNAcentral
UUUCCGUAGGUGAACCGGCGGAAGGAUCAUUACAGUAGUCGCCCGGGUUACCGCCAGGCCACCCGGGACACCUACCACCCGUGGAUUAUUACACUUUGUUUCUUUGGCAGGCCUCCCCCCGAGCUCCUGGCUCCGGCCUGCGUACGCUUGACAGAGGACCUAAACUCUGUUUGUCUAUACUUUCUCAGUACCAGAUAAUUUUGAACACUUUCAACAACGGAUCUCUGGGUAUUGGCAGCGAUCAAGACGCAGCACAUCGCAAGAGCGUACGUCUGAACU